RNA transcript from Galeopterus variegatus (Sunda flying lemur), 423 nucleotides. It is a transcript of the gene named keratin, type I cytoskeletal 18 pseudogene, with no coding region annotated. The transcript has a single exon. The record is from RefSeq and is a predicted model, not a curated record. NCBI's taxonomy places the organism in Eukaryota, Metazoa, Chordata, Mammalia, Dermoptera, Cynocephalidae.
UACCUGGACAGAGUAAGGAGCCUGGAGAGUGAAAAUCGGAAGCUGGAUAGCAAAAUCCGGGAACACCUGGAGAAGAAGGGGACCCAGGUCAGAAACUGGGGGAAUUACUUCAAGACCAUCGAGGACCUGAGGGCUCAGAUCUUUGCAAAUUCCGUGGACAAUGCCCAAAUCGUUCUGCAGAUUGAUAAUGCCCGUAUCGCUGCUGAUGACUUUAAAGUCAAGUAUGAGACAGAGCAGGCCAUGCGCCAGUCUGUGGAGAGCGACAUCCAUGGGCUCCACAAGGUCAUUGAUGACACCAAUGUCACCCGGCUUCAGCUAGAGACAGAGGUUGAGGCUCUCAAGGAGGAGCUGCUCUUCAUGAAGAAGAAACAUGAAGAGGAAGUAAAAGGCCUACAAGCCCAGAUUGCCAACUCUGGGUUGACC